UAAGAAGAGGUGUGAAUGGAUGCACAAAGAGUUUUGAUCUCUUAAGAAUAGGUUCAAAUCCUUUUUUCUUAA
Molecule: transfer RNA, 72 nt
Filed under: Hynobius kimurae (Hida salamander)
Lineage: Eukaryota; Metazoa; Chordata; Amphibia; Caudata; Hynobiidae
Description: tRNA-Gln
Rfam family: tRNA
About the family: Transfer RNA (tRNA) molecules are approximately 80 nucleotides in length.
Source: RNAcentral